AACGCACAUUGCGCCCCUUGGCAUUCCGAGGGGCACACCUGUCCGAGCGCCAUGUCAACCCUCAAGCCUGGCUUGGUGUUGGGGCGCGUCCGCCGGGAUGUCUCCGAAACCCGUAGGCGUCCUUGCUCGGCCUCCGGCGUAGCAGGCUAACGCACAUGCGCGAGGGGUGCGAGCGAGAGGCUGCCCAUAUUUCUUCAAGGUUGGCCUCGGAUCAGGUGGGGAUACCCGCUGAACUUAA
RNAcentral lists this unclassified non-coding RNA (238 nucleotides) under uncultured fungus. RNAcentral describes it as "sequence contains ITS2". Lineage: Eukaryota; Fungi. The record is from RNAcentral.